This 84-nucleotide transfer RNA is filed under the name Acidobacteriota bacterium. RNAcentral's name for it is "tRNA-Leu". Lineage: Bacteria; Pseudomonadati; Acidobacteriota. The record is from RNAcentral.
GGGGCGUGGCGAGAGGGCAAACGCGCAAGACUAAGAAUCUUCUUGGCUCAAGAAGCCUUGCGAGUUCGAUGCUUGCCACCCCCA